UUCGGUGAUUAGAGCGCGGUGGAACUACCCUUAACCAUUCCGAACAAGGAAGUAAAACGCCGUAGCGCUCACGAUACUGGGGGAGACCCUGGGACAAUAGGUCAUCGCCGGGG
This 113-nucleotide ribosomal RNA is filed under the name Candidatus Levybacteria bacterium RIFCSPHIGHO2_01_FULL_38_96. The record is from RNAcentral. Lineage: Bacteria; Candidatus Levyibacteriota. RNAcentral also lists the same sequence under 5 other names.